This is a non-coding RNA of Acanthosepion pharaonis, 112 nucleotides long. Lineage: Eukaryota; Metazoa; Mollusca; Cephalopoda; Sepiida; Sepiidae. The record is from the annotation of a GenBank genome assembly.
CGGCCUUAUCACGUUGAAACACCUGUUCUUGUACGAUCACCGAAGUUAAGCAAUGUCAAGCCUGGUCAGUACCUCGAUGGAUGACCGCUUGCAAAUACCAGCGUGCUGUAAG